Molecule: long non-coding RNA, 428 nt
Organism: Amphimedon queenslandica
Lineage: Eukaryota; Metazoa; Porifera; Demospongiae; Haplosclerida; Niphatidae
Exons: 2
Source: RefSeq, a predicted model, not a curated record
GUAUUUCCGGUGAAACAAGCCUCAGAACAUCCGGUCGGGCCGUGUUUCAUAUCCAGGGGUAUAUAGUAUCUAUGGUUAAAGAAUGGUUUCAAAAGUAUGGUAGGUAUUUGGACAUACUUGCUAUAUUGUGUGACAGCUUCAACGAAGACACAAAAUACACUAUUGGUAGAAGGCAGGGUAAUAAGAGUCACCUUAGUACAUUGCAGCUAGUACAGUCAAUGAAGGUGUGCAUGUUUUGUAAAUGCGGCUAGGCAAUUUCAGUUUAAAUCAGCUUAAACUUUCUACAUAGCAUAAGGGCAUUAAAUAUCUGUAUGAAGAAAAAAAUGCUAUUUAAAAUCCUAGCCCUAGUUCAAACUAAUUUUGAUAAUGAUGACAUUAAUGUCAUAUGGAGUGUUUGAGUUCUUUUAAGAGAGCCAUUUAGUUCAUUC